UGGGGAAUUUUCCGCAAUGGGCGCAAGCCUGACGGAGUGACGCCGCGUGGGGGACGAAGGCCUUCGGGUCGUAAACCCCUGUCAGAAGGAAAGAAGGUCGGCGGCGUGAACAGCGCCGUCGAUUGACGGUACCUUCAGAGGAAGCCCCGGCCAACUCUGUGCCAGCAGCCGCGGUAAGACAGAGGGGGCAAGCGUUGCUCGGAAUCACUGGGCGUAAAGGGCGCGUAGGCGGGAGACCAAGUCGGUCGUGAAAUCCUCGGGCUCAACUCGAGGGGGUCGGCCGAAACUGGUUUUCUUGAGGGGCGCAGAGGAGCCUGGAAUUCCCGGUGUAGCGGUGAAAUGUGUAGAGAUCGGGAGGAACACCGGUGGCGAAGGCGGGGGCUCUGGGCGCACCCUGACGCUGAGGCGCGAAGGCGUGGGGAGCAAACGGGAUUAGAUACCCCGGUAGUCCACGCGGUAAACGAUGACGACUAGGUGUGGGGGGGUUCAGUCCCUUCCGUGCCGCAGCUAACGCAUUAAGUCGUCCGCCUGGGGAGUAC
RNAcentral lists this ribosomal RNA (539 nucleotides) under uncultured bacterium. Its description in RNAcentral is "bacterial SSU rRNA". It matches the Rfam family "Bacterial small subunit ribosomal RNA", at positions 355 to 883 of the family's 1533-position model. The record is from RNAcentral.